This 407-nucleotide ribosomal RNA is filed under the name Perlomyia utahensis. Its description in RNAcentral is "partial 12S ribosomal RNA". The stretch from base 53 to 407 matches the Rfam family "Microsporidia small subunit ribosomal RNA", at positions 752 to 1207 of the family's 1311-position model. The record is from RNAcentral. Lineage: Eukaryota; Metazoa; Arthropoda; Insecta; Plecoptera; Leuctridae.
UAAACUACGAUUAGAUACCCUAUUAUUUUAAAUGUGAAUAUUAAAAAUAUUUGAGUAGUAGGAGUUAUGUUCUUUAAACUUAAAGAAUUUGGCGGUGUUUUAGUCUGUUCAGAGGAACCUGUCCCGUAAUCGAUAGCCCACGUAAUAUCUUACUUAGAUUUGUUUUCAGUUUGUAUACCGCCGUCGUCAGAAUGUCUUUUGAAGGAUUAAAUUUUCUAAAAUUUUUAUUAAAAAUGAUGUCAGGUCAAGGUGCAGCUAAUGUUUGAGUGGAGAUGGGUUACAAUAAAUUUAUUUAGAUGGAUUUUGUCUUGUAAUGAGUGAAAUGAAAGUGGAUUUGAUUGUAAUAUUGUUAAUAAAGUUAAUUUGAUUUUAGCUCUAAAACAUGCACACAUCGCCCGUCGCUCUUA